RNAcentral lists this ribosomal RNA (253 nucleotides) under uncultured bacterium. Its description in RNAcentral is "partial 16S ribosomal RNA". It matches the Rfam family "Bacterial small subunit ribosomal RNA", at positions 524 to 776 of the family's 1533-position model. The record is from RNAcentral.
UACAGAGGUCUCAAGCGUUGUUCGGAUUCAUUGGGCGUAAAGGGUGCGCAGGCGGUGUGAUAAGUUGAGUGUGAAAUCCCGGGGCUUAACCUCGGAACUGCACUCAAUACUGUCAUGCUCGAGGAAUGUAGAGGAGAGUGGAAUUCACGGUGUAGCAGUGAAAUGCGUAGAUAUCGUGAGGAAGACCAGUUGCGAAGGCGACUCUCUGGGCAUUUCCUGACGCUCAUGCACGAAGGCCGGGGGAGCAAACAGG